RNAcentral lists this ribosomal RNA (464 nucleotides) under Vreelandella stevensii. Its description in RNAcentral is "partial 16S ribosomal RNA". It matches the Rfam family "Bacterial small subunit ribosomal RNA", at positions 338 to 795 of the family's 1533-position model. Lineage: Bacteria; Pseudomonadati; Pseudomonadota; Gammaproteobacteria; Oceanospirillales; Halomonadaceae. The record is from RNAcentral.
CCUAUGGGUGGCUGCAGUGGGGAAUAUUGGACAAUGGGCGAAAGCCUGAUCCAGCCAUGCCGCGUGUGUGAAGAAGGCCUUCGGGUUGUAAAGCACUUUCAGUGGGGAAGAAAGCCUUGGGGCUAAUACCCUCGAGGAAGGACAUCACCCACAGAAGAAGCACCGGCUAACUCCGUGCCAGCAGCCGCGGUAAUACGGAGGGUGCGAGCGUUAAUCGGAAUUACUGGGCGUAAAGCGCGCGUAGGCGGUCUGAUAAGCCGGUUGUGAAAGCCCCGGGCUCAACCUGGGAACGGCAUCCGGAACUGUCAGGCUAGAGUGCAGGAGAGGAAGGUAGAAUUCCCGGUGUAGCGGUGAAAUGCGUAGAGAUCGGGAGGAAUACCAGUGGCGAAGGCGGCCUUCUGGACUGACACUGACGCUGAGGUGCGAAAGCGUGGGUAGCAAACAGGAUUAGAUACCCAGUAGUC